UCGAGAAUUUUUCUCAAUGGGCGAAAGCCUGAAGGAGCGACGCCGCGUGGGGGAUGAAGGGCUUCGGCCCGUAAACCCCUGUCAUUUGCGAACAAAUGUCAUUCAUUAAUAGUGGGUGGCUUGAUUGUAGCGAAAGAGGAAGGGACGGCUAACUCUGUGCCAGCAGCCGCGGUAAUACAGAGGUCCCAAGCGUUGUUCGGAUUCACUGGGCGUAAAGGGUGCGCAGGUGGGCUGGUAAGUUCGAUGUGAAAGCCCCGGGCUUAACCCGGGAAUGGCAUUGGAUACUACUGGUCUGGAGGAUUGGAGGGGGGACUGGAAUUCUUGGUGUAGCAGUGAAAUGCGUAGAUAUCAAGAGGAACACCAGUGGCGAAGGCGAGUCCCUGGACAAUACCUGACACUGAGGCACGAAAGCCGGGGGAGCAAACAG
Molecule: ribosomal RNA, 427 nt
Filed under: uncultured bacterium
Lineage: Bacteria
Description: bacterial SSU rRNA
Rfam family: Bacterial small subunit ribosomal RNA
Source: RNAcentral